Molecule: ribosomal RNA, 858 nt
Filed under: uncultured organism
Description: SSU rRNA
Rfam family: Bacterial small subunit ribosomal RNA
Source: RNAcentral
CUUAACACAUGCAAGUCGAGGGGCAGCAUGGUCUUAGCUUGCUAAGGCCGAUGGCGACCGGCGCACGGGUGAGUAACACGUAUCCAACCUGCCGUCUACUCUUGGACAGCCUUCCGAAAGGAAGAUUAAUACAAGAUGGCAUCAUGAGUCCGCAUGUUCACAUGAUUAAAGGUAUUCCGGUAGACGAUGGGGAUGCGUUCCAUUAGAUAGUAGGCGGGGUAACGGCCCACCUAGUCUUCGAUGGAUAGGGGUUCUGAGAGGAAGGUCCCCCACAUUGGAACUGAGACACGGUCCAAACUCCUACGGGAGGCAGCAGUGAGGAAUAUUGGUCAAUGGGCGAGAGCCUGAACCAGCCAAGUAGCGUGAAGGAUGACUGCCCUAUGGGUUGUAAACUUCUUUUAUAAAGGAAUAAAGUCGGGUAUGUAUACCCGUUUGCAUGUACUUUAUGAAUAAGGAUCGGCUAACCCCGUGCCAGCAGCCGCGGUAAUACGGAGGAUCCGAGCGUUAUCCGGAUUUAUUGGGUUUAAAGGGAGCGUAGAUGGAUGUUUAAGUCAGUUGUGAAAGUUUGCGGCUCAGCCGUAAAAUUGCAGUUGAUACUGGAUAUCUUGAGUGCAGUUGAGGCAGGCGGAAUUCGUGGUGUAGCGGUGAAAUGCUUAGAUAUCACGAAGAACUCCGAUUGCGAAGGCAGCCUGCUAAGCUGCAACUGACAUUGAGGCUCGAAAGUGUGGGUAUCAAACAGGAUUAGAUACCCUGGUAGUCCACACGGUAAACGAUGAAUACUCGCUGUUUGCGAUAUACUGCAAGCGGCCAAGCGAAAGCGUUAAGUAUUCCACCUGGGGAGUACGCCGGCAGCGGUGA